GCAAGUCGAGCGGAAACGACACUAACAAUCCUUAGGGUGCGUUAAGGGGCGUCGAGCGGCGGAAGGGUGAGUAAUGCCUAGGAAAUUGCCUUGAUGUGGGGGAAAACCAUUGGAAAAGAUGGCUAGUACCGCAUAACGCCUACGUGUCAAAGAGUGGGAUCGUCGGUCCUCUCGCGUCAAGAUAGGCCUAGGUGGGAUUAGCUAGUUGGUGAGGUAAUGGCUUACCAAGGCGACGAUCCCUAGCUGGUCUGAGAGGAUGAUC
RNAcentral lists this ribosomal RNA (262 nucleotides) under uncultured bacterium. Its description in RNAcentral is "partial 16S ribosomal RNA". It matches the Rfam family "Bacterial small subunit ribosomal RNA", at positions 57 to 305 of the family's 1533-position model. The record is from RNAcentral.